GACCCCGAAAGUGCUCCGCACUUCGACAGCG
This 31-nucleotide ribosomal RNA is filed under the name Osmanthus decorus. RNAcentral's name for it is "partial 26S ribosomal RNA". Lineage: Eukaryota; Viridiplantae; Streptophyta; Magnoliopsida; Lamiales; Oleaceae. The record is from RNAcentral.